This 72-nucleotide transfer RNA is filed under the name Marmota marmota marmota (Alpine marmot). It matches the Rfam family "tRNA". Rfam says of the family: Transfer RNA (tRNA) molecules are approximately 80 nucleotides in length. Their secondary structure includes four short double-helical elements and three loops (D, anti-codon, and T loops). Further hydrogen bonds mediate the characteristic L-shaped molecular structure. tRNAs have two regions of fundamental functional importance: the anti-codon, which is responsible for specific mRNA codon recognition, and the 3' end, to which the tRNAs corresponding amino acid is attached (by aminoacyl-tRNA synthetases). tRNAs cope with the degeneracy of the genetic code in two manners: having more than one tRNA (with a specific anti-codon) for a particular amino acid; and 'wobble' base-pairing, i.e. permitting non-standard base-pairing at the 3rd anti-codon position. RNAcentral also lists the same sequence under 1 other name. Lineage: Eukaryota; Metazoa; Chordata; Mammalia; Rodentia; Sciuridae. The record is from Rfam by way of RNAcentral.
UGGGAUGUGGUUCAGUGGUAGAGUACUUGCCUUGCAUGUAUGAAGUACUGGGUUCGAUCCUCAACACCACAU